GAAGGGAGAAAACUGCUCCAUGUCCCUGAUGUAAUGUGGUUGCCUAGACAAAAGCUGGAUGGGAUGUUGUCCAGCAGAAAGAAGUCAAAGGAGCCAAGUGCAAGUCCAACCAAAAUGUGAAAAUGAACAACAAUUCCUCAUGAAGCCAAUUUGGAGCUGGCAAGAUGGCUCACUGGGUGAAAGUGUUUGCCCUGAAAAACUGCCAAGCAGAGUUCCCUCCUCAGCAUCUACACAAAGGGGUUGGCAAACUACCGUCCUUCAGUCACGUGCGACCAUAGUAUUCAUGUGAGUUCCCUGCAAUUAUUCUCACGGGAAGACUUUUGGGAGACUGGCCCAAAGAGCUGAUGCUUCCGAUGAGCCCCAAAAGCUCACACUUUACGGAAAAUGUCUGUGGAUUUACAUUCUUACAUUCAUCACCCCACUGUCACAUCUAUUUCCUGAAAGCGUCGCAAAUCAAAACACCUUCCUGUAUCCAGCGGAAGCACUACGCAUAAUUCCCAAGACUACAUUUCCUCACAGUCAAGCCCAUUCAUUCUGCCGCCUCCUCCUAGAUCUUUCUGGAUACACUUGCUGAGUCCUCUAGUACUCACGCCUAAGAACAUACAUGCUCCUAGUCGCCAUCGAAAUAAGGUUCCAAAGUUCCCAUCCAAGACCAUUAAUUCAGACUUAGCCACACUUCUUCCUGCCUUUGGCCCCAUCCAGUCCAUGUCCACACUUCUACAUACACCUGAAGUUUCUGCCACUACCACGCUGGCUCCUGAAACUCUGCCUGGCUCUAGCCUAGUCUGGCUCCAUUUCUACCGGAGGGUUGUCUUUUCCCACUCCAUAACUCUCUCUUCAAUCAGCCCGUAGAUUAUGGUUCAGCCACUACUACCCAGGACUCAAGGAUUUACUCACUCAACAGCCGUUUCCUACUAGAUUUUCAGUUCAUUUUAGAGAUUUCAGUGGUAACAAAAAUAAAGUAAGACAACAAAGACCCAACAUGUCAGCAAGGACUCGGGUAUGAAGAGCUCAUUUUAGGAUGCUCCUCCUGAAUGUGGAUGGCAGCUUAUAUUACAUCACAACAGGGGACCACCUGUACGCCAGUCAGAACCCUUCUCUCCAUGCACACAGCAAUAAAGUUUCCGUCAGACUCAACUGUGUUCAAGAUACUUAACAUUUUUUGCUUUUAUCUACUCAAAGAGUUAAUUAGUCUCUUUUGGAAGGCAUCAUAUAUAACAGCAGUGGGGUAUUAGAAGAAUUACAAGAUAUCAAUGAGGCAUAAUGUACACUCUGCUUUUGCAAGUGCUAACACCUUGUUUAUUUGCCAUAUCUGCACAUUACAGUUCCCAGAACUAAUCACUACUUGCUCAGCAGACUCCGACAUGAGAUGACAAACUUUGAGUCAUCAGGUCUUUAACAGGCUGCACACUUAAGAAUUAACAUCCGGACUUCCAACAAAAUAAAAAAGCCUUGCUGUAGAAUCCCUAGCAAGGCAGUCUGGAGGUUUCCUCCCCUGCCGCUGCUCCCUUUUGCUUUGUUGCUCUGUUUUCUCUUUGGUGUUCUUGCCAUACGCCACCAAAAUGUGCCUGUUCCAGCUGCAGAGUCAGACCUGUCGCCCUGGAGGGCAGCAACUGCUAGGCUGGGCUACUGAGAAAUGAGCCUGAUUUAAAAAUCCAGCCCCAGUUCUGACCUCUGGCUCUCUUCAAAGCCAUUACCAUCAACAAUGAGUAUCCCAGCCUGGUCUUUAUAGUCUCUUAAAGCCAUGCCAGAGCCUUAGCCUUCCACCCUAGCCCACCAAUUAAUCACUCUUGAUCGAGAACUUUCACUUUUAACUGACUUUCAAACACAAAUUAAAGUACUGGAAAUUAAUAGCUGGAACAAGAUGAAAAAGAAUUUGCUUCAAAUUCAGUUUUAGUCAUUAUAGAUCAAGAAGUACUAAACAUCAGACUUAGAGGUGUGUGCUUGGGGAGGGUUCUUUUCCAUGGGCAAGUACAGCAUAUGUAAGAGAUAAUAGCCCAAACCCCAAGUGUGUUGUGAACAUACAAAUGUGGGCACCUAUUUCCUAAAUAAAUGUUAGCUAGCAUGACACAUGUAACAAUGGCAAGGCCAACCAGGCACAGCAGAGUUAAAUACCUGCUACUGUCAACCACAGCGUAAAUGUGUUAGAAGCCAUGCUUUUUGCUGCCAAAUUCUGAAGCCUCUGUCUUUGAAAAGCUCUAAGCAGUGCAUUCACAGAGAAGGCAGGUGGCAUAAAGAGGUUGGUGAGGUUAGAUGUUUCUGUGAAUCCGUUUUAGAAAGAUCUGAAACUCUAGACAGCAGUGUGCAUGCACUUGAAUGUGCAAAUACAGGAACAAGUCAUCCUGCACUGGAAAAUCAAAGCCAUGUACAGAACACCAACAUCCAGGCCAGGGCUAGUUUUUAAAUAUAUAGUUAGCCUUUUGGCUUCUCUCUGUGGAAAAGCUAGGGUGCUAAGAACAACACUGAAGAUUUAUCGUCACGCUCAGAUUUCCCUGCUAUCCACUUGUCUGUGGACUCUCAGAGAGCCUUACUAUCGAAUGAUCACUCACUGCAGCAGACUCUUCUCACCAGCCGCCAUGUUUACCAGCUAACCCUGAAGCAGAUCCAUGGGAGAACCAAGGAAGCACUAUCAGUAUUAGGAACACUGAUGGAUGCCAUCUUUAGCAUGGUAAGACAUGGAAUCUUAGGCAGCAGUGAGAGCUGCUAGUAACAAAAUGGAAGUAUAUUCACUUAUCACAACCAAAUCCAAGGAAACAGUAUUUGUCAACAGACUGGUGUACCCUAGUUUUAUCGGACAGGCUGUCCCUGGCCCAACCAUACCUUCAUACUAGUUGUCCAUCUAAAUAAUGCAGAUCAUAAAACUAGAGUGGAGUCCUUUCCAUCUUCAGUCUAGGUCCCGGUACUGACAGCUUUUCAGGCUUUGUCCUUUCCUACACCUCCAACAGGAAGAACCAUAAAAUGGGUGUUACAUCUUCAUCAGCUUAUGCUUUCUGUUUUGGAAUACAAAGCUUGGGUACUAGAAGUAUUGCCCAAAGUCUCUGAAAUUUUUUUUUUCAUUUAUAAAUAUCACAUUCCCCUAUUCCUCUGCCCAACAACCUUCACUCCCUGUUUCUAUAAGGCUACCCAAGUUUCCUUUGCAUAAAACAAUUUCAUGUGAAAUAUUACAUUACGAUGUGGAAUUACCCUCUGUAUG
Long non-coding RNA from Alexandromys fortis (reed vole), 3193 nucleotides. RefSeq lists it as uncharacterized. The record is from RefSeq and is a predicted model, not a curated record. The transcript is spliced from 3 exons. Lineage: Eukaryota; Metazoa; Chordata; Mammalia; Rodentia; Cricetidae.